Long non-coding RNA from Lutra lutra (Eurasian river otter), 2667 nucleotides. RefSeq lists it as uncharacterized. The transcript has 3 exons. The record is from RefSeq and is a predicted model, not a curated record. Lineage: Eukaryota; Metazoa; Chordata; Mammalia; Carnivora; Mustelidae.
CACCACGGGCAGGAGCCAGGCUUGUCAGUGAACUGGACCUGGUCGUGGCUGCUGGAGCUUUCCAUCCUCAUUCCCUAAGGAGCCAAGGCUGCCAGGAACCUUCACACCCCUUGCUUCUGGGCUCAGAGGAGGCACAGGCGCACACUAGCGGCACCCUCCCAGAGUGCAGGCAUGAAGCCAGCAUCCGUGGGGAGGAACCUACUGGGGAAAACACCCCAGCGGUUCCCUGUGUGCACUGCGAAGAGGACAUGGAACCUCCCGCCUCGGGCCGGCCGCCAGGGGAGCAGGCCCUGCCAGGGGGUGACAGAGGCCAUGCCAGGACACCACCCAAGCCUGCUCUGGCAUUCCCUGUGAUACCAGCUGGCAGCGGCCAGCCUCUGCCCUUAGGAGCACUCACACGGCGGUCCAAACCAUUAGCUGCCACGAGAGCCACAUUGCUAGUGACAGGCGACCACAGCAGGGCAAGCGCCGGCCACCAGGCAGGUGUGGAGGGCUCCGUCCUGUGGCUCUUUUCCGAAGGCACAGCAUUUUUCUUCCCCUCCCAAUUAAUCUCCCAGGGCCCCAUCCUGAAGGAACGGAUCUGUCACGAGAAGUGACAAGAUGGGAUCUGCGGAGCAGAGGCUGGAAUCCGAGGCGGUGUUUCCUGGCGGGCCAUUUGCAUGGUUUGCCUGACUUCAGCAGAAAUGCACGGCAGAUAACCCAGAGCCGCGCGGGCACCUGCAAUUGAAGAAUUCAGAAUCACAAGUAAUGGGUCUAAAUUGGCAGGCUUUCAUGAGAGUCCCACCAAUCUUCAAGCGUACAGCUGCCAUGGGUCACGUAAAAUGGUUUCCUAGAGUCUGUAUUUCUGAUGGCACCCCUGUGUCAUUGUUGGCCCUAUUUCUUUGUUCUCCGAAUUUCCUACGAUACAGUGGUGUUUUCUGCCAUUUGGAAGUUAGAGAAUCAUUUUUCCAGAAAGCCGAGGUUCCUUCUAUUGUCUCUCUUGGCUGACUCGCUGGUGCCUGUGACGUCAAUGACCAGCUCCAUAAUGAAUUCCAAGUGUCCUCUGGUCUGCAUCUCUCAUCUGCGUGUCUCCAAAUGGCUGCCCAACAUUGCCCUCAGAUGCCUCACUGCCACUGCAUCCUGCAAGUCUGGUCCACUUCUAGCGAGGACACCCUGUCCAUCACAUCACGCAAGUCAAAACUGUAGAAGUUCUUACUGACCCCUCCCCCGUCUCUCCCUCCCUCCCUCCCAGACAUCUGCUUAUUCCCAAUGUCUGUUCUUCUACUUCCUGUGUAACUCUCUCAUCGCUCCCCUUAUUUCCAGCUGCCCUUCACCCACUUUCCUGGUCGGAUACCAAUGGCUCACGGCUAAGCUGCCUCCCUAACUAGUCUCCCUGUCUUCCUCUGCUCUUGUACUUCUUCAGUGUAUACCCCACGUGACCACCUAAACGUUUUUCCUGAUCUCUCUGAUCGUGUCACCCCUUCUUAAAACCUCCGAUAGGUUCCAGCUACAUUUUGGAUAAAGCUGGGGUUCUUGAAGGGUGGCUCCCAAGACUCCAUUCUGUCAGGUACCCCCUGCCCCUGUCCUGGCAGCCCCCUCCCAGAUGACACCUGUCUUCUUUGCACAUCACAUCACAGGGCUGUGUCCCUGCCCCACCUGCUCUUUGCCCUGCUCUUUGCUCAUGACCUUCUGGAUCAUGCCCAUCCCCUGUGUCUGAGCUCAGGCACAGCCCUGUCUUGUUCACACCUUCUCGGACCCUCAACCUAGGCCAGGUGUCUUAUCACCUGUCUCAGAGAACUGCUCAUUUGCGCUAACGCUCAGAACAGCUUCUGGUCAGACGUGUAUCUGGCAUUACUGGAUUUGUCUUCCUUGCUAGCCUGGGCCUUCUUGGGACUAGGAACCGUGUCUAUUUUUAACCAGUGUACCCUCAGACACUUGCAAGGUGCCCCACACAUUGCACCUGCUCAGUAUGUGCUCAAUGAGUGAUAAAGCCAUCAAGGCACCUCCAGAAAGGGCCUCUGAUGUCUGCAACAACUCAUCGGAAUAAUCUAACAUAGGCAGCCCUGGAAAAGAAGUAUGUAUUGAUGCCGCAAAGAGGAAUUCUAACAGAAAAGAAUGCUCAGAACCUUCUAAGGCCCAUAUAUGAGGGAGAUGAAGUCUAGCUUGUCAGUUUCAUGAUGAGUUUGAUGUUUCUUCUCCUGGAGGAUUGUGACUAAUGUAACAUGACCGCAGAUAUAAUUAAACCUGGUGUUUGUGCCUUUCUUUUUGCACUUAAUCGGUUUUGGGGGAAGUAAAUCUUGAAUCCUAAUCUAUCAUCAGGGUAGAUGCUCUAAUUGUGAUGACAUCAUAGCAAUAACGACGUGGAAUAUUUACAGGUGAGCUUUCCAGUGGACGCACAUGCAACAUCUCCUCCAUUCCGCGUUACUCUAACUCUGUGAUAAUUAGCAGGCUAGUUAUUUGUUAAAACAAGGUAGAGACAUAUUCCAGGCAAGAACUGGGUGCCAUCGCACGAUAAGCUGCUCUAAGCAGAAAAUAAUGAAUACACUGAGAUUUGCUCCCAGCGAUUCAGAACUAAUCCUGAACGAAUAAUAAACUAGGUCAUACUUAGGCCUACAGAGAAUAAGUACAUCCUCUGAGCCAUUAAGACCUCUGAAACCAGUACUGCUUCAGAAUGGGAGAAACUAGUCA